This 465-nucleotide ribosomal RNA is filed under the name Vreelandella stevensii. Its description in RNAcentral is "partial 16S ribosomal RNA". It matches the Rfam family "Bacterial small subunit ribosomal RNA", at positions 338 to 795 of the family's 1533-position model. Lineage: Bacteria; Pseudomonadati; Pseudomonadota; Gammaproteobacteria; Oceanospirillales; Halomonadaceae. The record is from RNAcentral.
CCUACGGGAGGCAGCAGUGGGGAAUAUUGGACAAUGGGGGGAACCCUGAUCCAGCCAUGCCGCGUGUGUGAAGAAGGCCCUCGGGUUGUAAAGCACUUUCAGUGAGGAAGAACGCCUGGUGGUUAAUACCCAUCAGGAAAGACAUCACUCACAGAAGAAGCACCGGCUAACUCCGCGCCAGCAGCCGCGGUAAUACGGAGGGUGCGAGCGUUAAUCGGAAUUACUGGGCGUAAAGCGCGCGUAGGUGGCUUGAUAAGCCGGUUGUGAAAGCCCCGGGCUCAACCUGGGAACGGCAUCCGGAACUGUCAAGCUAGAGUGCAGGAGAGGAAGGUAGAAUUCCCGGUGUAGCGGUGAAAUGCGUAGAGAUCGGGAGGAAUACCAGUGGCGAAGGCGGCCUUCUGGACUGACACUGACACUGAGGUGCGAAAGCGUGGGUAGCAAACAGGAUUAGAUACCCGAGUAGUC